This 253-nucleotide ribosomal RNA is filed under the name uncultured bacterium. RNAcentral describes it as "partial 16S ribosomal RNA". It matches the Rfam family "Bacterial small subunit ribosomal RNA", at positions 524 to 776 of the family's 1533-position model. The record is from RNAcentral.
UACGUAGGGGGCAAGCGUUGUCCGGAUUUAUUGGGCGUAAAGAGCGUGUAGGCGGCUUUACAGGUCCGUUGUGAAAACUCGAGGCUCAACCUCGAGACGCCGGUGGAAACCGUAAAGCUAGAGUCCGGAAGAGGAGAGUGGAAUUCCUGAUGUAGCGGUGAAAUGCGCAGAUAUCAGGAAGAACACCCGUGGCGAAGGCGGCUCUCUGGGACGGUACUGACGCUGAGACGCGAAAGCGUGGGGAGCGAACAGG